RNAcentral lists this ribosomal RNA (445 nucleotides) under uncultured bacterium. RNAcentral describes it as "partial 16S ribosomal RNA". It matches the Rfam family "Bacterial small subunit ribosomal RNA", at positions 354 to 796 of the family's 1533-position model. The record is from RNAcentral.
GUGAGGAAUAUUGGUCAAUGGGCGGGAGCCUGAACCAGCCAAGUCGCGUGAAGGAAGAAGGAUCUAUGGUUCGUAAACUUCUUUUGCAGGGGAAUAAAGUGCAGGACGUGUCCUGUUUUGUAUGUACCCUGAGAAUAAGGAUCGGCUAACUCCGUGCCAGCAGCCGCGGUAAUACGGAGGAUCCGAGCGUUAUCCGGAUUUAUUGGGUUUAAAGGGUGCGUAGGUGGUUUGAUAAGUCAGCGGUGAAAGUUUGCAGCUUAACUGUAAAAAUGCCGUUAAAACUGUCGGACUUGAGUGUAAAUGAGGUAGGCGGAAUGCGUGGUGUAGCGGUGAAAUGCAUAGAUAUCACGCAGAACUCCGAUUGCGAAGGCAGCUUACUAAGCUACAACUGACACUGAAGCACGAAAGCGUGGGGAUCAAACAGGAUUAGAUACCCGGGUAGUCC